This 468-nucleotide ribosomal RNA is filed under the name uncultured bacterium. Its description in RNAcentral is "partial 16S ribosomal RNA". It matches the Rfam family "Bacterial small subunit ribosomal RNA", at positions 28 to 507 of the family's 1533-position model. The record is from RNAcentral.
GACGAACGCUGGCGGCGUGCUUAACACAUGCAAGUCGAACGGAAAGACCCUGCGUUUGUGGGGUGCUCGAGUGGCGAGCGGGGGAGUGACACGUGAGUAUCCUGCCCUUGACUGUGGGAUAACUUCACGAAACUGGGGCUAAUACCGGAGAGGAGCUCCUGCUGCAUGGUGGGGGAUGGAAAGUGUCGGCGGUUGGGGAUGGACUCGCGGGUUAUGAGCUUGUUGGGGGGGUAGUGGCUUACCAGGGCUUUGACGGGUAGCCGGCCUGAGAGGGUGACCGGGCACCUUGGGACUGAGAUACGGCCCAGACGCCUACGGGAGGCAGCAGUGGGGAAUAUGGCACAAUGGGCGGAAGCCUGAUGCAGCAACGCCGCGUGCGGGAUGCUGGCCUUCGGGUUGUAAACCGCUUUCGCCUGUGACGAAGCGUGAGUGACGGUACUGGGUAAAGAAGCAACGGCUAACUACGUG